AUAAUGGGUCAGCGACUUAUAUUCUGUAGCAAGGUUAACCGAAUAGGGGAGCCGAAGGGAAACCGAGUCUUAACUGGGCGUUAAGUUGCAGGGUAUAGACCCGAAACCCGGUGAUCUAGCCAUGGGCAGGUUGAAGGUUGGGUAACACUAACUGGAGGACCGAACCGACUAAUGUUGAAAAAUUAGCGGAUGACUUGUGGCUGGGGGUGAAAGGCCAAUCAAACCGGGAGAUAGCUGGUUCUCCCCGAAAGCUAUUUAGGUAGCGCCUCGUGAAUUCAUCUCCGGGGGUAGAGCACUGUUUCGGCAAGGGGGUCAUCCCGACUUACCAACCCGAUGCAAACUGCGAAUACCGGAGAAUGUUAUCACGGGAGACACACGGCGGGUGCUAACGUCCGUCGUGAAGAGGGAAACAACCCAGACCGCCAGCUAAGGUCCCAAAGUCAUGGUUAAGUGGGAAACGAUGUGGGAAGGCCCAGACAGCCAGGAUGUUGGCUUAGAAGCAGCCAUCAUUUAAAGAAAGCGUAAUAGCUCACUGGUCGAGUCGGCCUGCGCGGAAGAUGUAACGGGGCUAAACCAUGCACCGAAGCUGCGGCAGCGACGCUUAUGCGUUGUUGGGUAGGGGA
Molecule: ribosomal RNA, 623 nt
Filed under: Escherichia coli
Lineage: Bacteria; Pseudomonadati; Pseudomonadota; Gammaproteobacteria; Enterobacterales; Enterobacteriaceae
Description: partial 23S ribosomal RNA
Rfam family: Bacterial large subunit ribosomal RNA
Source: RNAcentral